RNAcentral lists this ribosomal RNA (245 nucleotides) under uncultured Rhodococcus sp. RNAcentral describes it as "partial 16S ribosomal RNA". It matches the Rfam family "Bacterial small subunit ribosomal RNA", at positions 796 to 1041 of the family's 1533-position model. The record is from RNAcentral. Lineage: Bacteria; Bacillati; Actinomycetota; Actinomycetes; Mycobacteriales; Nocardiaceae.
CACGCCGUAAACGGUGGGCGCUAGGUGUGGGUUCCUUCCACGGAAUCCGUGCCGUAGCUAACGCAUUAAGCGCCCCGCCUGGGGAGUACGGCCGCAAGGCUAAAACUCAAAGGAAUUGACGGGGGCCCGCACAAGCGGCGGAGCAUGUGGAUUAAUUCGAUGCAACGCGAAGAACCUUACCUGGGUUUGACAUAUACCGGAAAGCUGCAGAGAUGUGGCCCCCCUUGUGGUCGGUAUACAGGUGG